RNAcentral lists this ribosomal RNA (253 nucleotides) under uncultured bacterium. RNAcentral's name for it is "partial 16S ribosomal RNA". It matches the Rfam family "Bacterial small subunit ribosomal RNA", at positions 524 to 776 of the family's 1533-position model. The record is from RNAcentral.
UACAGAGGUCCCGAGCGUUGUUCGGAUUCAUUGGGCGUAAAGGGCGCGUAGGCGGCUUGGCAAGUCUGAUGUGAAAUCCCGGGGCUCAACCCCGGAACUGCAUUGGAUACUGCCUUGCUAGAGUACUGGAGAGGGAACUGGAAUUUACGGUGUAGCAGUGAAAUGCGUAGAGAUCGUAAGGAAGGCCAGUGGCGAAGGCGAGUUCCUGGACAGUUACUGACGCUGAGGCACGAAGGCCAGGGGAGCAAACAGG